This 452-nucleotide RNase P RNA is filed under the name Hymenobacter coccineus. Its description in RNAcentral is "RNase P RNA component class A". It matches the Rfam family "Bacterial RNase P class A". From Rfam's summary of the family: Ribonuclease P (RNase P) is a ubiquitous endoribonuclease, found in archaea, bacteria and eukarya as well as chloroplasts and mitochondria. Its best characterised activity is the generation of mature 5'-ends of tRNAs by cleaving the 5'-leader elements of precursor-tRNAs. Lineage: Bacteria; Pseudomonadati; Bacteroidota; Cytophagia; Cytophagales; Hymenobacteraceae. The record is from RNAcentral.
GCAGUGCGCCACUCCACCGCGGCGGGGCAACCCGGCGAGGAAAGUCCGGGCAACGCAGGGCACCCUGCUUCCUAACGGGAAGGCGCGGCCAAGCGGGCCGCGACAGCCAGUGCCACAGAAAAGAACCGCCGGGCGGUGAAUGAGCGAAUGAGCGAAUGAGUGAGGGGCCCCAGGUCAAUUCACUCAUUCACCCAUUCACUCAUUGGUAAGGGUGAAAAGGUGCGGUAAGAGCGCACCAGCGGCUGGGCAACCACGCCGGCUGGGUAAACCUCAGGGGUUGAAAGACCAAAUAAGCGGACACGCGCGCUGGCUCUGGCCGGCGGGCAACGGGCGGCCCGCCCGGGUCCGCGGGUAGGUCGAUGGAGCCUUUCCGCGAGGACGGGCCGAGAUAAAUGGUGGGGACGGGGCCCCCGGGCCCCGGACAGAACCCGGCUUACCGGCGCAUUGCCUAG